RNAcentral lists this unclassified non-coding RNA (1952 nucleotides) under Eurytemora carolleeae. Its description in RNAcentral is "leucine-rich repeat extensin-like protein 3". The record is from RNAcentral. Lineage: Eukaryota; Metazoa; Arthropoda; Copepoda; Calanoida; Temoridae.
CUAGCAAUACAAGACAAAUCUGGGUCAAGUUCAUUCCAACAGGAAGUGAAAGAAUACAAGGGAAAUCUAUUUAUAAAUAAAUUUUUACAUCUAGGAACAAAAAAUUGAUCUCGAUUUCUUAAGGGGUAUUGGUGCAUCUCAAUAUCUGAAUUCCUGGGGAACACUGGAUCCAUAUAGAAAGAAGGAGGGGCAAAAGAGCUAAAAUGUUUUACAAGAUCUGCAUUUUAAAACUUUUUCUUUAAUGUAUAUUUAUUUCAGAUAAAAUGAGGAGCUUGGUGUUGCUGUUUUUACCGUCCUUGGCGCUAGCUGCUCCGAAACCAGAUUCUAGUAGUAGUUACGGAGCUCCCCAUGCGCCAGUGUACGAUAGUUACAGUGCACCCCCCGCCCCAACCUACGCUAAACAGCAGUACUACCCACCUCAACAGCAGUACGUUAACCCGCCAGAUUCUCAUGUACAUCAUCAUUAUUAUCACCAGGCUCAGCCCGUUGUUCAGGUUCCAAUCACUCCUCAGCCAUAUGUUGUUCAGGUUCCUCAAAACGUUCCAGUUCAGUUUGUUCCCAUCAAUGUAGAUGUUCCACCACCACAGUAUCAAACUGUUCCUGUACACCUAGCUCCUCAACAGGGAUAUGUACUUCCAGACCGAUCUGAAUGCUACGACUAUGAUUUGGAAUGUUUGGGAAACAUUGGCAGAGAUUUUGGUCUUCCCAUUCCUCAUCCUUAUCAAGGUCCUGUAGCAGCCCCGUACCAGUAUCCAGGUCCUUCUCCUUAUGCAGGUUCUCCUUUCGGAGGAGGAGGAUUAGCAGCCCCAUACCAGUAUCCAGGUCCUUCUCCUUAUGCAGGUUCUCCUUUCAGAGGAGGAUUAGGUUCUCUUUUUGGAGGAGGAUUAGGUAAAUAUAAAACCUCAUCCGACCCUACCAGCUUAGCCACCCCUGUUUACCUCAUCCCUAUCCCAUCUACCUUUAUUUACCUCUAUACGUACCUUAUCUACCACUUCCUACCACAUCCCUAUCCCAUCUACCUCUAUUUACCCCUAUAAGUACCUUAUCUAAAACUUUCCACCACAAUCCUACCCCAUCUACCACCCGAUUUACCUCCCAAUACCAUGUAACUAUCCAAUCCUACUCCCCACAACCCUAUAACUAUCUAAUCCUACUCCCCACUACCCUGUAAAUAUCUACUCCUACUCCCCACUACCCUAUAAUAUCCUAGACUGAAGACGAUACAUGGAUAAUUUGACUUUAAAACACCUUCAGACUUCGAUGGUGUUUAGUUUAUACAAACGAUAAUUAAAGUCGUAUAAAUCUAACAACACACAUGACUGUUACUAACACGACUGGGCUCAUAACGUAUGAUUCGUUGUGAUUAAAGGGAUCGUUGACGUAAUUUAAAAAAGAGAAGCUUGUCCGAUUCACAAGGGUACUCUUUAAACCUUUGCCUGAGCAAAAAUGGAGAAAAUAUCUUUGUUUUUUUAUCAAUUAAAAAUUGAUAAUUUUUAGUCGUGGUUUCUCGAUGAAGGUUACUGAUUUUGCAACAAAGACAAAUAACGAAAUUUGCAUAAUGUUCCAAGGUCGAAGAAUGACAUUAUCUUUCCCAAUGUUACUCAGAUAAACAUUUAAAAAGAGUUCCGUUUUGAAUUGAGCUUGCCAAUCUUUAAAUGAAGGUUCACUCUUGAAGUUACGUCACAGUCUCUGUAAUUCAUCAAAAAAGAAAACAUUGAUGAAAUUGGUAAAAAUUUCGUUAAAUAUUUUUGUGUUUUUUUAUUGUAAGAAUAAUUUCGAACCAAAUAAAAGAACAAAAAAGUCUUUAAAUCAAUACAAAAAUUUUCCCUUUUUGGGGUCAUAUUCCGACUGUAUUUCAGGAGGUUUUUGGGAUCAUAUUCCGACUGUAUUUCAGGAGGUUUUUGGGGUCAUAUUCCGACUGUAUUUCAGGAGGUUUUUGGGGUCAUAUUCCG